CAUCUUCCCCCUGAAACAAAAAGGUGUUUGUUUCCAUCUGGAAAUUUGGCCUCUUGUCAAAAGACAGGCAAGUAAAAAAAAAAGUAAAGUGAGUCAUGUGAACGUGUUGGUUAUAUUUCUCUUCACCUUUACUAAUAUAAAUAUUUUUUAAUGUUACAGAUAAGAUGCACAUCUAGAUUUCCACCAGACAGAGAAAUAAGCUGCAGCAGGUUAAGGUUUCCUCCGUGUUGACUUUCCCAAACCUCUGGAGGUUUCCACACCACUGGCCACAUCCCCUGCUGGCAUCAAUGGACCUUGAGAACAACAUAUUUCCCAUCAGACAGCAGAUUAAUCUCAUGUAACUCAUGCACGGUCACAUCCUGGUCGUCUUGCAGUGCUGGGAAGGUUGUGUGGGAGUCCAGCGGCAGAGGGAUGACAUUGGAAGAUGGAAGGAAGGGCUCGGUUCAUGCAUCAUAUCAUCUGAUUUGCGGGGGAAAGAGCAAUAAUAAAGAUGCAGGGAAUAAAAGCAA
Molecule: long non-coding RNA, 509 nt
Organism: Micropterus salmoides (largemouth bass)
Lineage: Eukaryota; Metazoa; Chordata; Actinopteri; Centrarchiformes; Centrarchidae
Exons: 2
Source: RefSeq, a predicted model, not a curated record